GGCUUAAUACAUGCAAGUCGUGGGGCAGCAUGAGUGUAGCAAUACACUUGAUGGCGACCGGCAAACGGGUGCGGAACACGUACUGAACCUUCCUUUAAGUGGGGAAUAGCCCAGAGAAAUUUGGAUUAAUACCCCGUAACAUAUAGAAGUGGCAUCACUUUUAUAUUAUAGCAGCAAUGCGCUUGAAGAUGGCAGUGCGGCUGAUUAGGUAGUUGGCGGGGUAACGGCCCACCAAGCCUGCGAUCAGUAACUGGUGUGAGAGCACGACCAGUCACACGGGCACUGAGACACGGGCCCGACUCCUACGGGAGGCAGCAGUAAGGAAUAUUGGUCAAUGGACGCAAGUCUGAACCAGCCAUGCCGCGUGGAGGAUGAAGGUCCUCUGGAUUGUAAACUUC
This 398-nucleotide ribosomal RNA is filed under the name uncultured organism. RNAcentral describes it as "bacterial SSU rRNA". It matches the Rfam family "Bacterial small subunit ribosomal RNA", at positions 45 to 433 of the family's 1533-position model. The record is from RNAcentral.